This 401-nucleotide unclassified non-coding RNA is filed under the name soil metagenome. RNAcentral describes it as "partial contains 5.8S ribosomal RNA, internal transcribed spacer 2, and large subunit ribosomal RNA". The stretch from base 1 to 121 matches the Rfam family "5.8S ribosomal RNA", at positions 35 to 154 of the family's 154-position model. The record is from RNAcentral.
GAUGAAGAACGUAGCGAAAUGCGAUAAGUAAUGUGAAUUGCAGAAUUCAGUGAAUCAUCGAAUCUUUGAACGCACCUUGCGCCCCUUGGUUAUUCCAAAGGGCAUGCCUGUUUGAGUAUCAUGAACACCUCAACUCUUGUGGUUUCCCACAAUGAGCUUGGACUGUGGAGGUUUUGUUGGCCCUGUGGUCAGCUCCUCUCAAAUGGAUCAGCUUACCGGUGUUUGGUGGCAUUACGGGUGUGAUAACUAUCUACGCUCGUGGUCGUCUCCAAAUAACCUCCAGUGAUGGAGGUUCGCUGGAGCUUAUAAAUGUCUCGCCCCAGUGAAGACAGCCUUUGAACGUUCGAUCUCAAAUCAGGUAGGACUACCCGCUGAACUUAAGCAUAUCAAUAAGCGGAGGA